This 74-nucleotide transfer RNA is filed under the name Pteropus alecto (black flying fox). It matches the Rfam family "tRNA". From Rfam's summary of the family: Transfer RNA (tRNA) molecules are approximately 80 nucleotides in length. Their secondary structure includes four short double-helical elements and three loops (D, anti-codon, and T loops). Lineage: Eukaryota; Metazoa; Chordata; Mammalia; Chiroptera; Pteropodidae. The record is from Rfam by way of RNAcentral.
GGCUCUACAGUGUAGUGGUUAGCAUGUCUGCUUUAUACUCAGAAGGUCCUGGGUUUGCACAUCAAGUGGAGCCA